This 284-nucleotide unclassified non-coding RNA is filed under the name plant metagenome. RNAcentral describes it as "partial contains small subunit ribosomal RNA, internal transcribed spacer 1, and 5.8S ribosomal RNA". The stretch from base 1 to 53 matches the Rfam family "Eukaryotic small subunit ribosomal RNA", at positions 1779 to 1831 of the family's 1831-position model. The record is from RNAcentral.
GGAGUAAAAGUCGUAACAAGGUUUCCGUAGGUGAACCUGCGGAAGGAUCAUUAUUGUAUAACCGAGGUGCGAGGGCUGUCGCUGACCCGAAAGGUCGUGCACGCCCGAGUGCCCUCACACGCAUCCAUCUCACCCCUAUGUGCACCACCGCGUGGGUCCCCCUUUGGCUUGUUCGGAGGGGGGCUUACGUUUUCACACAAACUUUGUAUGCAGUGUAGAAUGUAUUUUUUGUUUUUGCGAUCACGCAAUCAAUACAACUUUCAACAACGGAUCUCUUGGCUCUC